This 199-nucleotide long non-coding RNA is filed under the name Panax ginseng (ginseng). RNAcentral describes it as "long non-coding RNA (PGIN_LNC008784)". Lineage: Eukaryota; Viridiplantae; Streptophyta; Magnoliopsida; Apiales; Araliaceae. The record is from RNAcentral.
UGAACUUGAAGAGGGCAAAAGUGUCCUAGUCGUUGUGACUAAAUAUCCAAGUCUGCUAGACUUGAAGAGGGCAAAGUGUCCUUGUCUGUGUGACUAAACCUUUAGUGAAUUUACUACUUGAGUAUAAGAGUGGAGGAGUUAUUCAGUCUUCGAACCACUUAAAAUUGUUUGUCUUUGCGUGCUGAUUUUUGUUUCUUAG